This is a long non-coding RNA of Branchiostoma belcheri (Belcher's lancelet), 217 nucleotides long. RefSeq lists it as uncharacterized. The transcript has 3 exons. Lineage: Eukaryota; Metazoa; Chordata; Leptocardii; Amphioxiformes; Branchiostomatidae. The record is from RefSeq and is a predicted model, not a curated record.
GGGCCCUGGCACACGCGUAAAGCGGCACAUCUGAUGAUAACGUUUCUGUGAGCCAAGAUGCCUCGGGUGUUGAUGCGAGCAGACACCAUCAGUGCAGACCCUGAGGAAGAUUUUGAUGUUCUAGACUUCCACGAGGAUGCAGAAUCUCCACUUCCAACCCCUGAUCCAACCUCAAUACAUGUACCUACUGGAGUGAGGAGGAAGAAACAAGAAGGUA